AACAAGGCAAUGUUCCCAUUGGCUACAAUUUCACCUAAAACAGCUUGUGAUUGGUCAGGGAGUGUGGGCCGCCUGUAUAUAAAGCCUGGUAGACGGACGUCAACACAGAACACUGGCACGCGACGACGCUACAACAUCUUCUGUACUAACACGCUCAUCAAACGACCAUGAACCCUAUACGAGUUGACCGAGGUAGCUGCAGUGUCACCACAAGAACAAUUCGGAGCGUCUACAAAAUUUACCUGUUGCUGGAGAACUCGAUCGCAACAAUUCCUUUCCUACUCCAGUUCUACCGCGGUUAGUGGAUCCUUCCCACAGCAUUACAGUGAGUUUCCUAGUGUUAAACUACAAGAAAUUGGUCUCCAAAAAAACUGCUUUGUUAUUUCUUCUACCCCAUUUGUGGGUCAUGAGCUGUAUUGCAUUACAUUCUGUGCAAGUAAAGUCAAACUUGUACAUAUUGAAUAUCCAGUAUAUGUAACCAAUAAAGUUUUUCUAUUUAUGGAAUAAUCCAAA
Molecule: long non-coding RNA, 513 nt
Filed under: Homarus americanus (American lobster)
Lineage: Eukaryota; Metazoa; Arthropoda; Malacostraca; Decapoda; Nephropidae
Description: uncharacterized LOC121853957
Source: RNAcentral